This 239-nucleotide ribosomal RNA is filed under the name uncultured Lactobacillus sp. RNAcentral's name for it is "partial 16S ribosomal RNA". It matches the Rfam family "Bacterial small subunit ribosomal RNA", at positions 122 to 354 of the family's 1533-position model. The record is from RNAcentral. Lineage: Bacteria; Bacillati; Bacillota; Bacilli; Lactobacillales; Lactobacillaceae.
UAACCUGCCCAAGAGAUCGGGAUAACACCUGGAAACAGAUGCUAAUACCGGAUAACAACAGAUGAUGCCUAUCAACUGUUUAAAAGAUGGUUCUGCUAUCACUCUUGGAUGGACCUGCGGUGCAUUAGCUAGUUGGUAGGGUAACGGCCUACCAAGGCGAUGAUGCAUAGCCGAGUUGAGAGACUGAUCGGCCACAUUGGGACUGAGACACGGCCCAAACUCCUAGGGAGGCAGCAGAC